AUCGCAGUCUGCAACCCGACUGCGUGAAGUCGGAAUCGCUAGUAAUCGCGGAUCAGCAUGCCGCGGUGAAUACGUUCCCGGGCCUUGUACACACCGCCCGUCACACCAUGAGAGUCGGGAACACCCGAAGUCCGUAGCCUAACCGCAAGGGGGGCGCGGCCGAAGGUGGGUUCGAUAAUUGGGGUGAAGUCGUAACAAGGUAUC
Molecule: ribosomal RNA, 204 nt
Filed under: uncultured bacterium
Lineage: Bacteria
Description: partial 16S ribosomal RNA
Rfam family: Bacterial small subunit ribosomal RNA
Source: RNAcentral